Molecule: long non-coding RNA, 3184 nt
Organism: Zeugodacus cucurbitae (melon fly)
Lineage: Eukaryota; Metazoa; Arthropoda; Insecta; Diptera; Tephritidae
Exons: 3
Source: RefSeq, a predicted model, not a curated record
UACUUCAAUAACCAUAUAACAAUAAAUUGCUUUUAAUUUUAUACAUAUGUAUAUAUAUCUAUAAAAGUAUGAGUGAUGUUUUUAAGCGGAAAUUGGAUAUGUUUUUAUUUCUUUAAUCGAUCUAGCUAAUGAUACAAAACAAAAGUUUACUAGAAAACAAUUUUUUUGGUUAGUAAGGGUUACUUAUUGUCUUCAAAAUAGAUUGAAGAGCGGUUUAGACAUUUAAAUUGGUGCACGUAGAAAUACUUUACCUUGGUGAAAAGACAGCAGGCCGAAUUCGCUCAAAAUACGCAUCUGUGACCGGCAAACUACUAUGGAGUAGUAAAAUAAAUUUAUUGUUGUUUUAUUCCAGCACUUGCUCAGCACCGCAUUUUUGCACGACCACAUGAAUAUGUAGAAGAGUGCGCAAAUAAGUGUGUUAACAUUGAACCCAUCUGUUAAAUUUGAUGCGAAUGUGGCUGCCGGCAAUUUCUGGUCGACAACUUACCAUACAACCGACCCAAACUGCGUGCAUCAGCUGGAAGUUUCUAAUGGACUCAUUUAUAUUUGCCUUACUAAGUUGCUCGCUUAUUGUUGCUGCAGUUAAUUAAAUUGUAGUCAAACACUUUUGCACUCUCUUCUGAAAGCUCCAGUCGGCGCAUGCUCAAGUAUUGGCCACACAAAUGAAGUACACUUGGUAUUUAAGCAAUGAAAAUAAAGCUCGUCCAUAAACGUAGCAAAUUGCUCGGUUAGAGAGUUAAUUAAGUUUAUUUUAAUUUAGUUAUUUUGGUUUUUUUAUUUCUUUGGUAAAGAUAAUAUCUUCUCUUUUGUUUACUUUACUAGGAUAUUAAAUUGUUAUAUUGAAAAUGUAUUUAAAAGAAAAUAGUUGAAAAAUAUUUUUUAAGCUAACUAGUCAUCAUUGCAAAAAGCGUAUUCUCAUCCAAAUAAAAAAAAUAAUUAGGGUCUCAUCAAACAUUAUUCAAAUGGUUAAUAAAUUGAUUCUUUCUUCCUUCUUCAUUCCAUAUCGAUAUUUUAUUUCUUGAGUCAUGUUAUGAUGAAAAAUGUUGAAUUGGCUAAAGUGUGGUUUUCAUGUGCCAAAUUUAAUGACAAAGACUCAGCAAUUUUCAAAAACGGCAGUAGUGUCAUUUUCUAUUCUUUUGAAAGUUCUCAUUAAUUUUACUGACGUAUUAGACUGUAUUCACUAGGUUGCUUAUUUAAAAGUUGCUAAUUAACCGUUUUUUUUCUUUGAUAAUUGCUGUCAUUAAAUUUGACAAAUAAAUGUACUAAAAUUGUCAGAAAUAAUAUCUCUGAUAUUAACAAUUCAAGUUUUCCAGACAAUUUAUAUUACUUGAGCAUAGGUUUUAUGCCGAAAAUUGCUUAACUCUUCAAAGACUCUUAAAUCAAAGAUCAGUCAGCCUGAAGGCAGUAUUGAAUAAUAAUCGAAAAUUUGUCAUUUUAAAUUCAAAAAUAUAUGUAUUUGCUAGAAAUUUUUUAAAUGCUUUCUUUUAUAUAUCAAGAAGCAAGCAAUCUGUGAAAUUAUUUUAAUUAAAAAAAUAUUCUUUAAAAAGAACGUACAAAGCUGAACUAAAAAGAAAAGGUUUUUCUCAAUAUUAAAGGAUUAAACCGUAACUGCCAAAGAAAAAGCUUACAGAACAAAGCUAUAAAAAUAACGGAAAAUUCCACUUCACAUUACCAUUUCGACUUCGACAAAUUCGAGUUAUUUGUACUGUUAAUUUGAAAAACACAGAUACAAAUAUAGGCUUAAUUGCUGCAAAUAAAUAAGUUUUUAUGUCCAACGGUUUAACUAUUGCUUGUUAUCGUCUGAAUAAUGUAUAUAACAGGCAUUAAUUGAUUUACGAGUGGAGAAGCUGCGUGCAAUAUAAAGUUUGAUGCUGCGGCGCUGAGAAUUCGGAAUGAAAUAUCGAGGCAAUAACUCCACUAAGCCUCAUAAAUAGCGUAAUAAAAAUGUGCAGUAUAUGUACUUAAAUAUAUAUGUGUGUGUGUGUGCGAAUUGACAGCUAAAAUAAUAAACUAAUUGAUCGCUUAGUUCACUACUCAACGUUUGACACAAUGCCCCCGAAGAAUUCCCACACGCCAAUGUAACUGACAAUUGAGCAAUAGUAAAGGCGGAAAUAUUCAAAAACAGCAACAAUAAGUACUAAUAAAAUGUGUAACAAAUGUUGAAAAUAGCAAAAUGAUGAAUGUUCAUUCACAAUGCUUGUAGACCUGAACGCUCUCCAAGCGCAGCAUGAUGCUACAACCGGAUAUACUGGUCUAUAAUGAGGCGCAAAUGCCACUACCAGGUCCUGUGGGCGUGGUCGAGCAAUGCUUACGGUGUUCAUCACUCGCAGCAUCAUUCACAUCAGUAAAAUCUAAUUAUCGUUAAUGCUGGGCUCUUCUAUGCUGAUAUGCUCAACGAUGACUUUCGAUAUGGACGGGCAUGAAAUGAUGGUAUUUCUGCAUAUACAAAAGAUCGGAGGUACAACGUUUAGACGGCAUUUGCAUAUAAGCCAUGCCAUAUGUUCGCAAUUCUUUAAUAUUGGACACAAUUCAAUAAACGACACAUGACGGAGAUGUACUCACGGAGGCACAGACAAAUCGUUUUGCUAUUGUUUUUGAUUUUUCUGAUGAGAGGAAGACAUUGCGCAACAACGUAAUAAAUUCGACAAUAUCCGUUCAAGAUAUUAAAAUCGCUUCCCAUUCCAAAUACACCAAACCGGAAGAACUUAUUAAUCCAGUGGAGUAUCAGCAUCGGUUAAUGGAGGAUAUUAAAACGCAACAAAACUUAAUGCUAAAACGUUUAGGCGAUAUUGAGAGUUGACUACGAGACGGUUCAAAUGUAUUUUUCUAUUAAUUGCUUCCAGAAGCAUAACCAUACAUUACCGUGAAUGAGAAUUUAUUGACAUAAUGAUGACGUCUACUUUCAUCAAAAAGUUGGAUCUUAUGAAGCAACUAUCUAAACUAAAUGCUUUGGUAAACACAAAACUAACUAUGAAAAAUGUCAAAAAUUUCAACUAAAUUUCGAGUAAAAGCGAAUUCAAAUUGUAGAUUUAGUUCAGUUUAUUAUAUUUAAAAAUUAUAAAAUUGCUUUAAUAAUCUAUAUAUAGAUAUACUAUACGUUUGUAUUACGUUUCCUUUGUCUUUUAACAAUUGAUUUGAACUUUCUUCUAUGUUCAACUAAAUAAAUAAUGUGAAACAAAUUGAA